Molecule: RNA transcript, 6204 nt
Organism: Siniperca chuatsi (mandarin fish)
Lineage: Eukaryota; Metazoa; Chordata; Actinopteri; Centrarchiformes; Sinipercidae
Gene name: myosin-7-like
Exons: 39
Source: RefSeq, a predicted model, not a curated record
UGGUGCCCUUGGCCUUGUAAGGCAGGGUUAUGGUUAUAUAUUUGAUCCCUGCCUUCCCUGCAGGUCUAGCAGCUGCUUCCUCUUCACCUGGCCUUUGUGGAUCACUGACUUAUACUCUGAAGUCUGAGCUCACCUGUCAUCCGAGUUGAACCCACCGUGCAGCCAUGGGGGAUGCAGAGAUGUCUGUGUUUGGGGCGGCUGCCCCAUACCUGAGGAAAUCGGACAAGGAGCGUAUGGAGGCGUCUACACGUCCUUUCGACAUAAAGAAGGAAUGCUUUGUUCCGGAUCCAGUGGAAGAGUUUGUGAAGGCAACCAUCAUCAGCCGAGAUGGAGACAAGGCCACUGUAGAGACGCAGCAUGGGAAGACAGUGACUGUCAAAGAGUGUCAGGUUCUGCAACAGAAUCCUCCAAAGUUUGACAAGAUCGAGGACAUGGCCAUGUUGACCUUCCUCCAUGAACCAGCUGUGCUGUUUAACCUCAAAGAACGUUAUGCAGCAUGGAUGAUCUAUACCUACUCUGGGCUCUUUUGUGUGACUGUCAACCCCUACAAGGGGCUGCCAGUCUACAACCAAGAAGUGGUCGUUGCCUAUAGAGGAAAGAAGAGGAGUGAAGCUCCUCCUCAUAUUUUCUCCAUCUCUGAUAAUGCCUACCAGUACAUGCUGGCAGACCGCGAAAACCAGUCAAUUCUGAUCACUGGAGAAUCUGGUGCAGGAAAGACUGUCAACACAAAGCGAGUCAUCCAGUAUUUUGCAAGUAUUGCAGCUGGAGGCAUAAAGAAAGACCCCAAUGCCAAAGACAAGGGUACCCUGGAGGAUCAAAUUAUCCAGGCUAACCCUGCUCUGGAGGCCUUUGGUAAUGCCAAGACCAUCAGGAAUGACAACUCCUCCAGAUUUGGUAAAUUCAUCCGCAUUCAUUUUGAUGCCAGGGGAAAGUUAGCUUCUGCUGAUAUUGAAACAUACCUUCUAGAAAAGUCUCGUGUGGUCUUCCAGCUCAAGGCUGAGAGAGAUUACCACAUUUUCUACCAGAUCCUGUCCAACAAGAAGCCUGAAAUCCUGGAGAUGCUGUUGAUCACAAAUAAUCCCUAUGACUACGCCUUCAUCUCUCAAGGGGAAACCCAAGUGGCCUCCAUUGAUGAUGCAGAGGAACUGAUGGCAACAGAUAAUGCCUUUGAUGUGUUGGGCUUUACUCAAGAGGAAAAGAAUUCGGUGUACAAGCUGACUGGUGCCAUCAUGCACCAUGGCAACAUGAAGUUCAAGCAGAAGCAGCGAGAGGAGCAGGCAGAGGCUGAUGGCACUGAAGAUGCUGACAAAGUAGCGUACCUGAUGGGCCUCAACUCUGCUGACCUGAUCAAAGGUCUUUGUCACCCAAGAGUCAAAGUGGGAAAUGAGUGGGUCACGAAGGGACAAAAUAUUGCUCAGGUGAACUAUGCUGUUGGAGCUCUAUCGAAGGCUGUUUAUGAAAAGAUGUUCCUGUGGAUGGUAAUGAGAAUCAACCAGUCCCUGGAGACCAGGCAACCUCGCCAGUACUUCAUUGGUGUACUGGACAUCGCUGGAUUUGAGAUAUUUGAUUUCAACACCUUUGAGCAGCUGUGCAUCAACUUCACCAAUGAAAAACUGCAACAGUUUUUCAACCACCACAUGUUUGUGCUGGAGCAGGAAGAGUACAAGAAAGAGGGCAUUGAAUGGACUUUCAUUGAUUUUGGUAUGGACUUGCAGGCCUGCAUUGACCUGAUUGAAAAGCCCAUGGGAAUCAUGUCCAUCCUUGAAGAGGAGUGCAUGUUCCCCAAAGCCUCUGAUGCCACCUUUAAAGCUAAGCUCUAUGACAACCAUCUGGGGAAAUCUGCCAACUUCCAGAAGCCCAGAGUUGUCAAAGGGAAACCAGAGGCCCAUUUUGCCCUGAUGCACUAUGCUGGAACUGUUGAUUAUAAUAUCAACAACUGGCUGGUGAAGAACAAGGAUCCCCUUAAUGAGACUGUUGUUGGACUGUAUCAGAAAUCUACUAUGAAGCUAUUAGCUAUCCUCUUUGCAAAUUAUGCUGGAGCUGAUUCAGCUAUGGUCGAUGGUACUGAAGGAAAAAAAGAGAAGAAGAAGAAGGGAUCAUCAUUUCAGACUGUGUCCGCUCUUCAUAGGGAGAACCUGAACAAGCUGAUGACCAACUUGAGGUCUACUCACCCUCACUUUGUACGCUGCAUCAUCCCCAAUGAGACAAAGACUCCUGGGGCCAUGGAGAAUCCUCUGGUUAUGCACCAGCUGCGCUGUAACGGUGUGCUGGAAGGCAUCAGGAUCUGCAGAAAGGGCUUCCCCAACAGGAUCCUUUACGGAGAUUUCAAACAGAGAUAUCGCAUCCUGAAUCCCGCUGCCAUCCCUGAUGGUCAGUUCAUUGACAGCAGGAAGGGAGCUGAGAAACUUCUUGGGUCACUGGAUAUUGAUCAUAAUCAGUACAAGUUUGGACACACUAAGGUGUUCUUCAAGGCUGGAUUGCUGGGUCUGCUUGAGGAGAUGAGAGACGAGCGUCUCUCCAAAAUCAUCACGGCUAUUCAAGCCAGAUCCCGUGGUCUUUUGUCUCGUAUUGAGUAUCAGAAGAUGGUGGAACGCAGAGAUGCAUUAUUAGUGAUCCAAUGGAAUGUCCGUUCAUUCAUGGGGGUCAAGAAUUGGCCCUGGAUGAAGCUGUUCUUCAAGAUCAAACCUCUGUUGAGAUCUGCUGAGGCAGAAAAAGAGAUGGCCAAUAUGAAAGAAGAAUUCCUCAAAUUGAAAGAGGCUUACUCAAAGUCUGAAGCUCGUAGAAAGGAACUAGAGGAGAAAAUGGUCACUCUUCUUCAAGAGAAGAAUGACCUGCAGCUCCAAGUUCAAGCGGAGCAAGAUAAUCUCUGUGAUGCAGAGGAAAGAUGUGAGGGGCUGAUCAAAAACAAAAUUCAACUGGAGGCAAAAGCUAAAGAGCUGACAGAAAGGCUCGAGGAUGAGGAGGAGAUGAAUGCUGAACUGACUGCUAAGAAGAGGAAGCUGGAGGAUGAGUGUUCUGAGCUGAAGAAAGACAUUGAUGACUUAGAGUUAACUCUGGCUAAAGUGGAGAAAGAGAAGCACGCCACUGAGAACAAGGUAAAGAACCUGACUGAGGAGAUGGCAGCUCUGGAUGAAAUCAUUGCUAAGUUGACCAAGGAAAAGAAAGCCUUACAGGAAGCUCAUCAGCAAACACUGGAUGAUCUGCAGAGUGAAGAAGACAAAGUCAACACUCUGACCAAGGCCAAGGCUAAGCUGGAGCAGCAAGUGGAUGAUCUUGAAGGAUCUCUUGAGCAAGAGAAGAAGGUUCGAAUGGACCUUGAGAGAGCUAAGAGAAAGCUGGAGGGAGACUUAAAGUUGACCCAGGAGAUUGUAAUGGAUUUAGAAAAUGACAAGCAACAGCUGGAGGAGCGCCUAAAGAAGAAAGACUUUGAGAUCAACCAGCUGAACGGCAAAAUUGAAGAUGAACAGGCCAUAAUGAUUCAACUCCAGAAGAAGCUGAAAGAGCUGCAGGCUCGUGUAGAGGAACUGGAGGAAGAGCUUGAAGCAGAGCGAGCUGCCCGAGGCAAGGUGGAGAAGCAGAGAGCAGACUUGGCCAGAGAGCUGGAGGAGAUCAGUGAGAGGCUGGAGGAGGCUGGUGGAGCAACAGCUGCCCAGAUUGAGAUGAACAAGAAGAGGGAGGCUGAGUUCCAGAAACUCCGCAGAGACCUCGAAGAGGCCACUCUGCAGCAUGAAGCCACUGCUGCCACACUCAGGAAGAAACAAGCUGACAGUGCUGCUGACCUGGGAGAGCAAAUUGACAACCUGCAGCGAGUCAAGCAGAAACUGGAGAAGGAGAAGAGUGAGCUCAGACUGGAGCUGGAUGAUGUGGUUUCCAGUAUGGAACAAGUAGUUAAAUCUAAGACUAACUUGGAGAAGACCUGCAGAACUUUGGAGGAUCAAAUGAAUGAAUACAGGAACAAGUGUGAUGAAUAUCAGAGAUCCCUUAAUGACUUCACUACCCAGAAAGCCAAGCUUCAAGCUGAGAACGAUGAGCUUUCAAGACAGCUGGAGGAGAAAGAAUCACUUAUUUCUCAGCUGACCAGAGGAAAGAAUUCCUACAAUCAACAACUUGAAGAUCUAAAAAGACAACUAGAGGAGGAAAUAAAGGCCAAGAAUGCAUUAGCCCAUGCAGUGCAGUCUGCUCGUCAUGACUGUGACCUGCUCAGGGAGCAGUAUGAGGAGGAGCAGGAGGCCAAGGCUGAACUGCAGCGCAGCAUGUCCAAGGCCAACUCUGAGGUGGCUCAGUGGAGAACUAAGUACGAAACUGAUGCUAUCCAGAGGACUGAGGAACUCGAGGAGGCCAAAAAGAAGCUGGCUCAGCGUCUGCAGGAGGCUGAGGAGGCUGUUGAAGCAGUGAAUGCUAAAUGUUCAUCUCUGGAGAAGACCAAACACAGGCUGCAGAAUGAGAUCGAAGAUCUCAUGGUGGAUGUGGAGAGGUCUAAUGCUGCUGCUGCUGCUCUGGACAAGAAGCAAAGAAACUUUGACAAAGUCCUGUCUGAGUGGAAACAGAAAUAUGAGGAGUGUCAGUGUGAGUUGGAGAGCUCUCAGAAGGAAGCCAGGUCUUUGAGCACUGAGCUCUUCAAAUUGAAAAACUCCUAUGAAGAAUCUCUAGACCAACUGGAGACCCUGAAGAGAGAGAACAAGAAUCUUCAGGAGGAGAUUUCUGACCUCACUGAGCAACUUGGUGAGGGAGGAAAAACCGUUCAUGAGUUGGAGAAGGUCCGUAAGCAACUGGAGCAGGAAAAGAAUGAGAUUCGUUCUGCCCUAGAGGAAGCAGAGGGUUCUCUUGAGCAUGAGGAGGGCAAGAUUCUGAGAGCCCAGCUUGAAUUCACUCAGAUUAAGGCAGAUAUGGAGCGUAAAAUAGCUGAGAAAGAUGAAGAGAUGGAACAGUGCAAAAGGAAUCUGCAGAGGACGAUCGACACCCUGCAGAGCUCUCUUGAGGCUGAGACUCGCAGCAGAAAUGAGGCCCUCCGUUUGAAGAAGAAGAUGGAGGGAGACCUCAAUGAGAUGGAGAUCCAGCUUAGCCAGGCUAACAGGCAGGCGGCUGAGGCCCAGAAACAACUUAAAUCUGUGCAUGCACAUCUGAAGGAUGCUCAGCUCCAGCUUGAUGACUCUCUUCGAAUCAAUGAUGAUAUGAAGGAAAACAUUGCCAUUGUUGAGAGACGCAACAACCUGCUUCAGGCUGAAGUGGAGGAGCUCAGGUCUGCUCUCGAGCAAACUGAGAGAGGUCGCAAACUUGCUGAGCAAGAGCUGCUGGAUGUUAGUGAGAGGGUGCAGCUACUGCACUCACAGAACACCAGCCUGAUAAAUCACAAGAAGAAGCUGGAGGCUGAUACAUCCCAGCUUCAAACUGAAGUGGAGGAAGCAGUGCAGGAGUGCAGAAAUGCUGAGGAAAAGGCCAAGAAGGCCAUUACUGAUGCUGCCAUGAUGGCAGAGGAGCUGAAGAAAGAGCAGGACACCAGCGCUCACCUGGAGCGUAUGAAGAAGAACAUGGAGCAAACCAUUAAAGACUUGCAGCACCGUCUGGAUGAAGCUGAACAGAUCGCCAUGAAAGGAGGCAAGAAGCAGGUGCAGAAGCUUGAAGCCAGGGUGAGGGAGCUGGAAAAUGAGGUGGAAAUGGAGCAGAAGAAAAGCAGUGAGGCUGUGAAGGGCGUCCGUAAAUAUGAGCGCCGUAUCAAGGAACUUACCUAUCAGACUGACGAGGACUGCAAGAAUAUUUCUCGACUCCAAGAUCUGGUAGAUAAGCUGCAGCUGAAAGUUAAAGCCUACAAGAGAGCUGCUGAGGAGGCUGAGGAACAGGCAAAUGUUCAUCUUGGCAAGUUCCGCAAGCUGCAGCAUGAGCUGGAUGAGGCUAAUGAGAGAGCUGACAUUGCUGAGACUCAGGUCAACAAGCUGCGCGCCAAAAGCCGUGAUGCUGGCUCCAAGGUUUGAAGCAUGCACUCUGUAGCAGGUGCACAGCAUCUGACCCUGACACAUGCUGCCUUCUGUUGGCUGUAUUUCACUUGUAUUCUGCUCUGCUCUUCAAGUAUUAGUACAAAAAGGGUUUGAUGAGGAGUGAAGCUUUGGAGCCUGCAGAAAUCCUUUUGCCUGCUGUGUACUGUAGAUCCCCUCAACUAUCACUAUUCACAACCUGUAGUGCUUAAUAAAAUCUCAUCAAGCUGUUGCA